UGAAAUGUCAUUAUCAAGAAAGAAAUGCAAAAACUGCACGAGUUACAAUUGUCACCAAGAAAGUGACACAGACCACAGUGGCUGCCCCUAAUUACUGAAAAGUGCAAAAAACCAAUUAAACCACUUAAGAAAGAUUACACAACAAAACUAAUAGAAAACCCACCAUCUUCUCCAGACAUUUCACACACCAGAAAAAAGAAUAAAAGAACAUACAACCAGACAAAAACAUAGCAGCCCACCGCCCUGGAUUCUUUCAUCAACGUCGCUACAGCCACCAUUUUGCUCCCUAAGGUCAGUAGCACUCAGCGAACGACAAUGGAACCUGUAGAUCUGAAUCGUCAGAGACCUCAAUAAUCAUUUUCUCUAACUCGUUCAACUCCUUCACCUCAAAUUUCUUCUGUCUCUUUCGGCCUCUGCUUCUACCCUUGGCGGCGCCUCCUCAAUCCAAACCCUCAACGACGACCACUGUUUUUCUUUCUCCGCCAAAGCAUGCGUCGUUUGAUUCCCCGAUCUACCCACAAAUCUAAAGGUGAGUUCUUGGAAUCUUUGGUCCCUUUCUUUAAUUUCCUUUACUAACACAACAAUGCUUCAUCUAUCCUCCCCCAGUGAUUGCACUUUUUUUAACUACGGUCACGGAGUCCCUCUCCACCACCAAUCUCUGAAAUCCCAAUUCUUCAGCCACUAUCACCGUUUGUACAUAGGCUCUUGCCUCUACCGUAGUUGGGUCGGACACAAAAUUAUUUGGGUAUGUACAUGCUGCCAGAAUAUACUCCUCAUUGUCUCUAAAAAUUAUCCCUGUCACCGAACUAUGAUCUUGCUUGUUAAACACUAUCAAAGUUAACUUUAACCACAUUUGUCAUCGAUGGAUACCAUGCAUUAUCAUUCUAAACAAUGUUAGUUGCUAUAGAUGUUUCAACAUUACUAAUCUCUGUGUAGUAAGCUUCAACAAAAGAAACGAGGCCAAACACAUUUUAUCUUUCACCAUGAUGAUAGAUUUUGUUUCUAUGAUGCCAUACUGCCCAGAAAACAAUAGCUAACCAUUUACAUUGUUCUUCACCACUAUUAACAAAUAAAUUUGCUAACCAUAUUUUCCAACUUUACCCCAGGUUAAUGGGUAAGACAUCUAUACCCACCCCCAGCAGGAUCCGCUUGGUGAACGAGCAGUCCCAGCAAAUGUGGCUCACCGACCAUUAGAUGACAGAAGGGGAAACAAUUUACCACCACCAACUUUCUCAGUUGUAAAUUAUCAAAUGUAGGAAUGUAAUUGUUAGCCAAUUUCUAGAUUGUAAUUUUUAUCUUACUCGCAAUUCUUAGUCUCCACAAUUUGUUGUAAAAAGUCUGUAACAUUUCCUAAUGUACCCCCUCCCCAGUAGGUAUUACCACAUCCCCAUUUAGUAGCCACUUAUACCCACUCCUUGCUGAAUAUACUCUUGUAUUAUCACCUCUCCAAAGUCUCUCAUCCCCUAGCUCAAUUACGACAAGUGGAAUGGUUAUUAUUCUGCUCACUUGCUCCUCAUCAAAUAGCUCUUGCAAGGCCUUUGAUUUCGAGGUAGCCGACUCAGUAUUAAUAAGAUCUACCACCACUGUGUAGUUAAUAUCAAUGUUCUGAAUUGCUACUCUUCUUUGUUCAGGGCCCAGUAACCAAGCAUCAUUCCAAAUGUUUAUUAAUCUGCCAUUUCCCACUCUCCACCCCAUACCUUGUCCCAGAAGUCUUCGAGCACCCCAAACGCUCCUCCAAGUAUACGAAGGGUGAAAUCCUAAGUCGACACUCGUAAAGCCAUUAUUUGGAUAGUACUUAGCUUUCAUGACUCGAGCAAAUAGAUAAUCUGGUUUCAUUAUUAGCCUUCAUCCCUAUUUAGCAAGCAACCAAUAUUGAACUUUGCUAAGUCCUUAAAACCCAACCUUUCUAAUACUUUCAGCUUGCAAAUCAUCUUCCAAUCGCACCAAUGGAUCCCUUUCUUUGUUAUAGAAUUCCCCUACUAGAAAUUACUAAUAAUACUUUCCAAACUCACGACAUGGAGUAACACACAACAAAAACUAUUGCAUUGUAUAAACUGAAAUAGCUUGUAAAAUUGACUUGAUAAAAGCGACAAUUGACG
RNAcentral lists this long non-coding RNA (2099 nucleotides) under Gossypium barbadense (sea-island cotton). RNAcentral describes it as "long non-coding RNA (GBAR_LNC019058)". Lineage: Eukaryota; Viridiplantae; Streptophyta; Magnoliopsida; Malvales; Malvaceae. The record is from RNAcentral.